RNAcentral lists this long non-coding RNA (1025 nucleotides) under Homo sapiens (human). RNAcentral's name for it is "long non-coding RNA NONHSAT194668.1". Lineage: Eukaryota; Metazoa; Chordata; Mammalia; Primates; Hominidae. The record is from RNAcentral.
AAAGCUGCCAAGUUGAAAAUGGACGAGUAAUCGCCUGCUUUGAUUCAUUGAAAGCCAGAGCCACGCAUUUUAUGGAAAAUGUAACUAGAAGUAAGGUGCUGAACUGCUGCUACAGCACCUUACCUGAGGCACAAACUUUGUUGCAUACAGUUGAUGGUGCACUCGUAGCUGCAAAAUGAAGGACAUUAAAUUUGGCUGUGACAUUGAGUGGUUACACAGAAGACCUGCUUCUACAACAUUUGGAAACAUUGUGAAACAUUACUAUUCAGUUGCUAUUUUUCCAUCUCAAAAUAUUUUUUUUUAGUUGCUGCUCACUUAUGGCCACAGAACAGUCCCUUUUUGAGUAAAGCAGCAAGGUUGCUUAAUGACAUGCUAUGUGGUUAACAAGAUUCAACUGCCACAUCAAGGACUUUAAAUAAUUUCAAGAUUUUAAAUGUAUUUAUGAAAUGAACUCAUUACAGCAGCUAAUCAAUGCAAACUUUGUCCUUUUUCUUUGUCUUUCUAAGAGAAACUGAAUUUAAUUUAAAUUUAAAUUACAGUGUCUAAAACUUGGUAAAAUAUUUUAAAUUUGAAUAAGAGGAAAAAAAAAACAUGAAUUUAUUUAUGAUGGAGCUUCAUACCCAGGACAGUAGCUUCUUAAAUGUUAGUAAAAUAAUUAUGUUAAGCAUUAAAACAAUUUUGAAUAUGUAAUUAAGCAUUUAUGUUAAAAAACAUGUUUCUUACGUGUGUGUGUAUAUAUUUAUAACUGACACAUGUGAUUCUUUGUACAGUAUUUAGAAUCCUUCCCUUCAGAUAGCAGUCCUCUUGUAUUCAGUCUUGUGGCUAAAAUAGAUCAAAAACAUAUUUUAAAACUGUUAAAGUAACUGUAUGACUCAUGCUUGAAGUUCUGAAAUUUGGGAGCGUUAUGAGGUUUCCAUGCCAUUAACCGCUAGAUCAUUUGCAUUCUCUCACAGAGUAAACGGAAAAAAAUUUAGAAAACUUGUAAUAAUCCUGACUUCUUUAAUAAAAUGUGUCCUGUGUAUUGC